This 387-nucleotide RNase P RNA is filed under the name Desulfobacterales bacterium. RNAcentral describes it as "RNase P RNA component class A". It matches the Rfam family "Bacterial RNase P class A". Rfam says of the family: Ribonuclease P (RNase P) is a ubiquitous endoribonuclease, found in archaea, bacteria and eukarya as well as chloroplasts and mitochondria. Its best characterised activity is the generation of mature 5'-ends of tRNAs by cleaving the 5'-leader elements of precursor-tRNAs. Cellular RNase Ps are ribonucleoproteins. The record is from RNAcentral. Lineage: Bacteria; Pseudomonadati; Thermodesulfobacteriota; Desulfobacteria; Desulfobacterales.
GGAGUCGUUCAGACGAUCGCCGGAUGGCCUUUUCGUCCGGAGGAAAGUCCGAACACCACAGGGCAGGGUGCUCCAUAACCUGGAGUCGCGGCAACGCGAAGGAAAGUGCAACAGAAAGUAAACCGCCCCGCGCUGAGUGAACCCUUGGUGCGGGGUAAGGGUGAAACGGUGCGGUAAGAGCGCACCAGUUCCUCGGGUGACCGGGGAAGCUCGGUAAACCCCACCCGGUGCAAGACCAAAUAGGGGAGCGUUCGAGGGCGGCCCGCUCAAGCUCCCGGGUAGGUCGCAAGAGGUGUCGGGCAAUCGGCACCCACAGAUGAAUGAUCGUCGCCCUCUGCCGGGCAACCGACCGGGGGAACAGAAUUCGGCUUACGAACGGCUCCGGCC